This 442-nucleotide ribosomal RNA is filed under the name uncultured bacterium. RNAcentral's name for it is "bacterial SSU rRNA". It matches the Rfam family "Bacterial small subunit ribosomal RNA", at positions 338 to 795 of the family's 1533-position model. The record is from RNAcentral.
CCUACGGGGGGCUGCGGUCGAGAAUCUUCCUCAAUGGCCGAAAGGCUGACGGAGCAAUGCCGCGUGAUCGAAGAAGCCCUUCGGGGUGUAAAGAUCUUUUCUGAGGGAAGAAUUAGUGACGGUACCUCAGGAAUAAGUCACUGCUAACUUCGUGCCAGCAGCAGCGGUAAUACGAAGGUGGCGAGCGUUACCCGGAUUGAUUGGGCGUAAAGCGUCCGCAGGCGGCUUAUCAAGUUCUCGGUCAAAUCCUGAAGCUCAACUUCAGGACUGCUGGGAAAACUAAUAAGCUAGAGACUGGGAGAGGUAAGCAGAAUUACCGGUGUAGCAGUGAAAUGCGUUAAUAUCAGUAGGAACACCAAAUGCGAAGGCAGCUUACUGGAACAGAUCUGACGCUCAGGGACGAAAGCGUGGGGAGCGAAUGGGAUUAGAUACCCGUGUAGUC